Non-coding RNA from Phascolarctos cinereus (koala), 1314 nucleotides. The record is from RefSeq and is a predicted model, not a curated record. Lineage: Eukaryota; Metazoa; Chordata; Mammalia; Diprotodontia; Phascolarctidae.
UAAGUAUUUUUGAAAAGAAGGGUAUUUAGAUUAAUGGGAAUGGGAGGAUAAGAGAGGGAUUCUUGGAGCAAGGGGGUAGGUUAAGUUAUUCAGAAGGCAAGGUAGUAGGUAGAAGUAGAGGAGUAAGGAGGGAUAGGAAAUAAGAGAUAUUCACAAAAAUAAAAUAAAGAUCAGGAGUAGAAUUUGUUAGGAGCAAAUGAGCAGGGGUGGCAACCAUGAUCUUGGACAAAAUUAAGGCUAAAAUAGAUUUAAUCAAAAGAGAAAAAUAGGGAAACUACAUUAUGUGUCAGCCAUGUGUAUCAAUGUUGUUUUGGACUGUUAAAAACAACUAUGUAAGGUGGGCAUAUUGCUGUGGUGUAUGAAAUGAUGAGUUAGUAGACUUGAAAUAAUAUGGAAUGACUCGGACUUAUGGAGGAAGAGGUUAUCCGCCCUCAGAGAAACAGAGGACCUGGUUUGGAGUUUGGGCUCUAUUGUUUAAGCAAAUGUCUAACCUUAAGCAACUCAGUUAACCUCUCUGUACCUCAUUACUUUAUAAUAUGUGACUAGAUAAUAAUAAUUAAUUCGUUUAUAUAGCACUUUAAAGUUGGGAAAAUAUUUUGCCACAUACUCAUUUAAGGUUCCUUCUAGCUCUAAGUCCUCUGAUUUUGACUAACUGCAUCCAUAUCACAUGUCUUUUUUCCUCAAAACACCAUUCUCACCCCCAGGUUUCUAGAUAUUUCAUUUCAAUUUGAAAUAUCUUAACUGAAUUUAGAAAUGUUUUACUUGCGUAGUUCCUUUGAGCUGCACCAAUGCUAGAAGCACUGUUAUGAAACAUACUUCCUAUUUUUUAGUUCUUUUUAUGUAGUGAAUUCAAGAUGCUUUUUGUAGUUUUGUUAUACAGACUUGGCUCUAAAUUGUUUGUCUUCUGGCUGAAAGUAAUUCAAAUUAAAGAGAAAUAAAGAUAACAUUGGACAUUAUUUGGAAGGAAUAAUUUAUGGGUGGAUGAAUCCUAGCAGUUUCACCAGAAGAGCAGUGGCUGAAUUGAGAGCUGAAAACAAACUAGACACACUAAAGGAAGGCAGUUUCAAGACUCUACAGUGAACCUAACAGAAAAUUGUACCACACCUAAGAGAUUCUACAUAAGGCUUCCCUGAAGGGUCUUCCAGCAACCAGAAGCUGUAAUUUAACUCUUUGCCGUGUGCGUUUUCUAAACUUGAGCCCACUUUUCUCUGAACUCUGUAUAUUUUUCUGAUAAAGUGUGCCCCAGACUUGAAUGGAAUGUUUUGUGCAAAUUGUUCUUCUAUCACCUUAGUAAAUGCUCAUUUCCAAAAGCAA